RNAcentral lists this transfer RNA (65 nucleotides) under Dipodomys ordii (Ord's kangaroo rat). It matches the Rfam family "tRNA". Rfam says of the family: Transfer RNA (tRNA) molecules are approximately 80 nucleotides in length. Their secondary structure includes four short double-helical elements and three loops (D, anti-codon, and T loops). Lineage: Eukaryota; Metazoa; Chordata; Mammalia; Rodentia; Heteromyidae. The record is from Rfam by way of RNAcentral.
GGUGGCUCAAUGGUAGAGCACUUGCCUUGCAUGCAUGAGGCCCUGGGUUUGAUUCCUCAGUACCA